AGGAUCUAGUUUCUAAUUCUGAAAUUCAAUCUGCAGGGUCUAAUUCAAAUCUUUCUUUUCCUGCUUCCUGCGGUACUUCAAAUGAAGUAACUCCAGAUACUGUACAAAGGGAUGGCAAGUCCUUCCAAAGGGCAGUCCCUGCUCCUCCCCAGGCUCAGCCAGGCUCCGUUCUGUGCAGGCUUGGAACAUAACACCUAAGGCUAUUUCCCACUUGCCUUUCUUAAUGACUCGUUAGGCUUAAGGGGAAAGAACAGAAUUGAGUCCACCUAAGACCUUGCAUCAAGUUUUGGACACCUCACAAGGGAAGUGAUGCAUUAGGGGGAGGAAAAAUGUGACUUGUGUCUUGAGAGAAGACUUCAGAUUUCAAGUAUUAAGGAUACUCAAAAGAAAAUACAGAUUCUUCAGAAAGCCCCAGGCCUCCUGGGAUCGUUUCAGAAUUCUGGAGAUUGAAUUUAGACGUGUCCUUAGAAACCUUGUGAAAUCAGGACUGAAGAGAAUAA
Strigops habroptila (Kakapo) is the source of this 500-nucleotide long non-coding RNA. RefSeq lists it as uncharacterized. Lineage: Eukaryota; Metazoa; Chordata; Aves; Psittaciformes; Psittacidae. The record is from RefSeq and is a predicted model, not a curated record. The transcript is spliced from 3 exons.